This 394-nucleotide long non-coding RNA is filed under the name Phoenix dactylifera (date palm). Its description in RNAcentral is "long non-coding RNA (PDAC_LNC010772)". Lineage: Eukaryota; Viridiplantae; Streptophyta; Magnoliopsida; Arecales; Arecaceae. The record is from RNAcentral.
GACGCACAUAUCUCAAAGCGAUUAGCGGGUGAUUCAACGGUGGAUUCGCACGAAGGAUUGUGAAUCCUUCUUUCGCGCGAACCCGAAACUAUGCGCCCAUGACCUUCACCGUCCCUAUCUACUAAAAUAAAUAGUUUUAUUUAGCUCGGUGUCGGGAGAGGGGGGGGGGAGAAAGGAGAGGAAUUUCUUCAGCCGCCUUCUCUUCGCUUCCUCGUCUUCCAAGAAGGUUCAACAGCUCAUCUCUCUGGCCGCUAAGACCAAGAUCUCCUUUUCCUCAGAUUUCUUCCGGCGAAAACGAAAUGGUACGCGCUCUCGUCUCCCUUCGCUUGCUCUCCCCGUUCGGUUCCUUUUUCGUCUAAUUUUUGCUCCUCUUUUGGUUCAAACGGACGACGAG